RNAcentral lists this long non-coding RNA (211 nucleotides) under Elaeis guineensis (African oil palm). RNAcentral's name for it is "long non-coding RNA (EGUI_LNC032491)". The record is from RNAcentral. Lineage: Eukaryota; Viridiplantae; Streptophyta; Magnoliopsida; Arecales; Arecaceae.
GCUAGCUGAAAAGAAAAGAAGAUAAGUCAAAAAAAAAGAAGAAGCAGUAUAAAGUACUGUAUUAUGCUGAGCAUCAUCGGAUAGAAAGAUGAAAAUAUUUCGGACACAGUCUGAUCCUUUCUGCUCUUUCUAUCAGUCGAAAGAAGUGCAGCUUCAAUGAGUCUCUUGGCCAAUUUUAGAUUGGCCAAGGCCACCUCACCUGCAGAAAUCC